GAUGUAUUUGGACACAUCCUAGGAGUUGACCAGUAGUGUGCACCCCAGCUAUGGAACAGAGAUCAGAAGAGGACUGGCCUUGGAGCUGCUCCUCUCCGUGGAAAUGUUUACAGCCGGUGAAACUGGGGGUGCUGAGGGCAUAGCAGUGGAGAGUGGCGACCCUACCCCUCUCCAUCAGCUGAUUCCGCUCCUGCCUUGGCUCCUAGUGGCAUCAGAGGUCACCAGGGAAAUGGAUAGAUCUGAUGUGCUUUGGUGGAAAGGGAGCUGGACUCUCAGUGAUGAAGUUUAGUGCUUUGAGUUUUAUGUGUGAACCCUGCCACUCCUUUGCUAUGUGAGAGACUGAAGAAUUGGUGAGAAAAAAAAAAUAAGAAAGAAAUAAGGGUAAGAUAAUGAAAUUCUGUCUGUCCUUACCUUAUGAUUUAUAUAGAGCUUUCUGUCUGUUGAAAAGCUUCUAGAAAAAGAUAGAUAUGAGCUG
Molecule: long non-coding RNA, 475 nt
Filed under: Bos indicus x Bos taurus (hybrid cattle)
Lineage: Eukaryota; Metazoa; Chordata; Mammalia; Artiodactyla; Bovidae
Description: lncRNA (ENSBIXG00005030378.1)
Source: RNAcentral